RNAcentral lists this transfer RNA (55 nucleotides) under Trichinella sp. T8. RNAcentral's name for it is "tRNA-Gln". The record is from RNAcentral. Lineage: Eukaryota; Metazoa; Nematoda; Enoplea; Trichinellida; Trichinellidae.
UGUAUUAUAGUAAAAUCUGUACAUAGAAAUUUGAAUUCUAAAGAUAGAAUACAAC